AGCAGUCCUUUUUUAAAAAUUACUAUUUGGCUAAGUAUCUAAUACAGUUUGCAUAAUGGGUGAAAAAAUGGUAAAUAGUGAACACCUGUACUAAAUGAUCUCCUUUUGCUAUUAGUAGUGAAUAAUUGUAAAAUGAUGUGAAGAAAAUUAACUGCUUUCAUAUUUUUUUUUUCAUAUUUUUUUUCAUAUUUUUUUCAAUAUUUUUUUCGCUUUCAGAAAAGAAAAAGGUAGCUGU
Molecule: non-coding RNA, 235 nt
Organism: Biomphalaria pfeifferi
Lineage: Eukaryota; Metazoa; Mollusca; Gastropoda; Planorbidae
Source: the annotation of a GenBank genome assembly